Molecule: RNA transcript, 2048 nt
Organism: Dendrobium catenatum
Lineage: Eukaryota; Viridiplantae; Streptophyta; Magnoliopsida; Asparagales; Orchidaceae
Gene name: probable RNA methyltransferase At5g51130
Exons: 8
Source: RefSeq, a predicted model, not a curated record
AUUUGAUUUUGAUUAAUCUAUUACUUUUUCUUUUAUGUAAUAUUUUCGCAUCUCACCUCAUAUAAGUAAAGCCUUCAAAAAUUUUAAGCAUAGACAAUUGCAACCAAUUCGAAGUUGUGUGGGAUAAUUUUUUCAUAAGACUUUAAUUGUCUAGAAGCAUAUGUAAUCGCCUUUUCAUUUUGCAUUAAACACAACCUAUCCUUUAAAAAAAAACCAUCACUGUAUAAUUGGAAUCCCUUAAUUUCAGAUGGAAUUGUUAAUACUGGUGUCGGUGUUAAAAACUUUUUUAAUUUAUAGAAUGUUUUGCUCACAUUCAUCAGUCCAUUUAAAUUUAAUAUUCUUUGGUGUCAAUAAAGGCAAAAUAAUUUGAUAAAAAAUUCUUUACAAAUUUUAUGUAAUAACCUAUUAAUCCUAAAAAGCUCCUAACUUUGGUCAUAUUACUUGGUCUUUGCCAUUCUACAAUUGCAUUCAUCUUUUCUUGUUCUAUUAAUAUGCCUUCACCACUAAUAAUGUGCCCCAAGAAAGAAAUUUUUCUCAACCAAAACUCAUAUUUAGAAAAUUUAACAAAUAAUUUAUGUUGUCUCAGUAAUCCCAUAACAAUUCUCAAGUGAUGUGCAUGCUCUUCAUCAUUUUUAGAAGAAACCAAAAUAUCAUCAAUAAUAACAAUUGCAACUGAUCAAUAUAAGGCCUGAAAAUUCUAUUCAUCAUAUCCAUAAAUACUAUUAGGGCAUUUGUCAAUCUAAAUGACAUAACAUGCAAGAAGCGGUCUGGCCGGUUCAAGUGAACCUGCGAGUUAAUAAAAUAGGCAUAGACGGACGGAGCGGGAGCAGGGUGCAAGCUGAUCAAACCGUAUGCAUGUACGAGGGAGAAAAAUAACUACUCGUGAGAUAUAGAUCCAUUUCACUCGCUCCUGUGGAGUCAAACGAAUGAAAAGUGAAUAGAGGAUGAAAGAGAGAAAGAGAAGGAGAAGGAAGGGAAGUAGAAUGGCUGAAGAGAGGAGUGUCUACAGAAGACGGCUCACAAAUGAAAAUAGGACUCAUCGAUGAUGCUAAAUGUAACCUACGAAAUACAGUUAGAAAAAAACAAUCUCAGGAUAUUUUGGCCAGGGGUUCAUUUCCAGAGGGCUUAAAUAGUGGAGCUUUGUAUGAGCGCAAUGUUUCUCAAAGUUCGAAUGAGGAAAUUUUGUACACUCAAUGUUACCCUUCUCAUCCUAGAGAACAUGAUCUUCUCCAAAGAGUUUCAUUUCAUUGUGAAAACUUCGUUGAAAAUAUGAAUGUCUGCCCCCAGAAGUUUCAUGCAAUUCUUUGUCUGAGUGUGACAAAGUGGAUCCAUUUGAAUUGGGGUGAUAGUGGACUGCUGGCAUUAUUUUCAAAGAUAUGGAGGCUUCUUAAACCAGGUGGAGUUCUUUUGUUGGAGUCUCAGCCUUGGGAAUCUUAUAAAAGAUACCGACGACUGUCUGAGGCUAUAAGGACAAACUAUAGUAAUAUUCAUCUACAUCCUGAUCAAUUUCGAGAUAUCCUUCUAGAUAAGGUUGGCUUUAGGUCUGCCGAUACCAUCACAGACAAUUUAUCUGGCACAGUUGCUGGUUUUGACAGGCCAAUCAUUGCCUUCAAAAAGUGAUUUUUUAUUGGAAGGAGAAAUGGUAGAAGUUUUCAACAGUUUUACUGUCACGCAUGAAGAGAUUAGAGAGCACCGAAUACUAAUCAGAUACGAAACAAAUUAUAACCAAGGCCUCUUGCUUUCGCUGCGUUUUGAUCAAUUUCCAUGCACCAUACAACACCAUGGGAUUUUUGUUGAUGCAUUUGAGGCUGAGGAAUGGAAGAUAAUUAUUGCCUUUGUAUUAUUUUGACUUCUGCCGAGCUAUAUUUGUCUGCAUUAAAUGGGCACUUAACAGCUCUGUACUACACAUCUGGGCUUUGAAAUUCUUUUUUGAUUAACGCUAGUAAGCAAUGAUAUUUAGAUUGUUUUACAAGUUGUACAGGCUCAAGUUCUUUUCUCAUGGCAUUGUACUCUUCAGGGGUUUUAUCCAAGGUGUUGGUUGCAAUGCA